Molecule: ribosomal RNA, 167 nt
Filed under: uncultured bacterium
Lineage: Bacteria
Description: partial 16S ribosomal RNA
Rfam family: Bacterial small subunit ribosomal RNA
Source: RNAcentral
GCUAGUAAUCGCAGAUCAGAAUGCUGCGGUGAAUACGUUCCCGGGUCUUGUACACACCGCCCGUCACACCAUGGGAGUCGGGAAUGCCCGAAGUCAGUGACCCAACCGCAAGGAGGGAGCUGCCGAAGGCAGGUCGGAUGACUGGGGUGAAGUCGUAACAAGGUAAC